Molecule: ribosomal RNA, 253 nt
Filed under: uncultured bacterium
Lineage: Bacteria
Description: partial 16S ribosomal RNA
Rfam family: Bacterial small subunit ribosomal RNA
Source: RNAcentral
UACGUAGGGGGCAAGCGUUGUCCGGAAUCAUUGGGCGUAAAGCGCGUGUAGGCGGCUUUGCAAGUCGGGUGUGAAAGCCCUCAGCUUAACUGAGGAAGUGCGCCCGAAACUGCUUGGCUUGAGUACCGGAGAGGAUGGCGGAAUUCCCCAAGUAGAGGUGAAAUUCGUAGAUAUGGGGAGGAACACCGGUGGCGAAGGCGGCCAUCUGGACGGAUACUGACGCUGAGACGCGAAAGCGUGGGUAGCAAACAGG